RNAcentral lists this non-coding RNA (31 nucleotides) under Rattus norvegicus (Norway rat). The record is from RNAcentral. Lineage: Eukaryota; Metazoa; Chordata; Mammalia; Rodentia; Muridae.
UGGGCUAAGCACCAACAAGUGAAACAAGGGC